Molecule: ribosomal RNA, 483 nt
Filed under: uncultured bacterium
Lineage: Bacteria
Description: partial 16S ribosomal RNA
Rfam family: Bacterial small subunit ribosomal RNA
Source: RNAcentral
UGGGGAAUUUUGGACAAUGGGCGAAAGCCUGAUCCAGCAAUGCCGCGUGUGUGAAGAAGGCCUUCGGGUUGUAAAGCACUUUUGUCCGGAAAGAAAUCCUUGGCUCUAAUACAGUCGGGGGAUGACGGUACCGGAAGAAUAAGCACCGGCUAACUACGUGCCAGCAGCCGCGGUAAUACGUAGGGUGCAAGCGUUAAUCGGAAUUACUGGGCGUAAAGCGUGCGCAGGCGGUCCGCUAAGACAGAUGUGAAAUCCCCCGGGCUUAACCUGGGAACUGCAUUUGUGACUGGCGGGCUAGAGUAUGGCAGAGGGGGGUAGAAUUCCACGUGUAGCAGUGAAAUGCGUAGAGAUGUGGAGGAAUACCGAUGGCGAAGGCAGCCCCCUUGGGCCAAUACUGACGCUCAUGCACGAAAAGCGUGGGGAGCAAACAGGAUUAGAUACCCUGGUAGUCCACGCCCUAAACGAUGUCAACUAGUUGUCGGG